GAUGAACGCUAGCGGCAGGCUUAACACAUGCAAGUCGAGGGGCAGCAUGACACGGAGAUUCGUCGAAGUGUUGAUGGCGACCGGCGCAAGGGUGCGUAACGCGUGAGCAACUUGCCCGCUUCAGGGGGAUAACCGGUGGAAACGCCGACUAAUACCCCAUGGCAUUGGCUGGAGGCAUCUCCGGCCAAUUAAAGAAAUUCGGAAGCGGAUAGGCUCGCGUGACAUUAGCUAGAUGGCGGGGUAACGGCCCACCAUGGCGACGAUGUCUAGGGGUUCUGAGAGGAAGGUCCCCCACACUGGAACUGAGACACGGUCCAG
Molecule: ribosomal RNA, 318 nt
Filed under: uncultured bacterium
Lineage: Bacteria
Description: bacterial SSU rRNA
Rfam family: Bacterial small subunit ribosomal RNA
Source: RNAcentral